RNAcentral lists this ribosomal RNA (251 nucleotides) under uncultured bacterium. RNAcentral's name for it is "partial 16S ribosomal RNA". It matches the Rfam family "Bacterial small subunit ribosomal RNA", at positions 524 to 774 of the family's 1533-position model. The record is from RNAcentral.
UACGUAGGGUGCAAGCGUUGUCCGGAAUUAUUGGGCGUAAAGAGCUCGUAGGCGGUCUGUUGCGUCGGCUGUGAAAACCCGGGGCUCAACUCCGGGCCUGCAGCCGAUACGGGCAGACUAGAGUUCGGCAGGGGAGACUGGAAUUCCUGGUGUAGCGGUGAAAUGCGCAGAUAUCAGGAGGAACACCGAUGGCGAAGGCAGGUCUCUGGGCCGAUACUGACGCUGAGGAGCGAAAGCGUGGGGAGCACAGG